Molecule: ribosomal RNA, 495 nt
Filed under: uncultured bacterium
Lineage: Bacteria
Description: partial 16S ribosomal RNA
Rfam family: Bacterial small subunit ribosomal RNA
Source: RNAcentral
GAUGAACGCUGGCGGUGUGCCUAAUACAUGCAAGUCGAGCGAACAGACGAGGAGCUUACUCCUCUGACGUUAGCGGCGGACGGGUGAGUAACACGUGGAUAACCUACCUAUAAGACUGGGAUAACUUCGGGAAACCGGAGCUAAUACCGGAUAACAUGUUGAACCGCAUGGUUCAACAGUGAAAGACGGUCUUGCUGUCACUUAUAGAUGGAUCCGCGUCGCAUUAGCUAGUUGGUAAGGUAACGGCUUACCAAGGCAACGAUGCGUAGCCGACCUGAGAGGGUGAUCGGCCACACUGGAACUGAGACACGGUCCAGACUCCGAAGGGAGGCAGCAGUAGGGAAUCUGCCGCAAUGGGCGAAAGCCUGACGGAGCAACGCCGCGUGAGUGAAGAAGGUCGUCGGAUCGUAAAACUCUGUUAUGAGGGAAGAACAAAUGUGUAAGUAACUAUGCACGUCUUGACGGUACCUAAUCAGAAAGCCACGGCUAACGACG